This 77-nucleotide transfer RNA is filed under the name Caudoviricetes sp. Its description in RNAcentral is "tRNA-Thr". It matches the Rfam family "tRNA". Rfam says of the family: Transfer RNA (tRNA) molecules are approximately 80 nucleotides in length. Their secondary structure includes four short double-helical elements and three loops (D, anti-codon, and T loops). The record is from RNAcentral. Lineage: Duplodnaviria; Heunggongvirae; Uroviricota; Caudoviricetes.
GCCGUCAUAGCUCAGUUGGCAGAGCGGCUGCCUUGUAAGCAGCAGGCCGAGGGUUCGAUUCCCCCCUGACGGCUCCA